This 468-nucleotide ribosomal RNA is filed under the name uncultured bacterium. RNAcentral's name for it is "partial 16S ribosomal RNA". It matches the Rfam family "Bacterial small subunit ribosomal RNA", at positions 28 to 507 of the family's 1533-position model. The record is from RNAcentral.
GACGAUCGCUGGCGGCGUGCUUAACACACGCAAGUCGAACGGAAAGGCCCUGCUUUUGUGGGGUGCUCGAGUGGCGAACGGGUGAGUAACACGUGAGUAACCUGCCCUUGACUUUGGGAUAACUUCAGGAAACUGGGGCUAAUACCGGAUAGGAGCUCCUGCUGCAUGGUGGGGGUUGGAAAGUUUCGGCGGUUGGGGAUGGACUCGCGGCUUAUCAGCUUGUUGGUGGGGUAGUGGCUUACCAAGGCUUUGACGGGUAGCCGGCCUGAGAGGGUGACCGGCCACAUUGGGACUGAGAUACGGCCCAGACUCCUACGGGAGGCAGCAGUGGGGAAUAUUGCACAAUGGGCGGAAGCCUGAUGCAGCAACGCCGCGUGCGGGAUGACGGCCUUCGGGUUGUAAACCGCUUUCGCCUGUGACGAAGCGUGAGUGACGGUAAUGGGUAAAGAAGCACCGGCUAACUACGUG